GGUUCUGAUGAAAUUCUGACCGUCAGCUCGUGCAAAAGAUCUCCUAUUCAAAGUCGAGAACAUCCUCAACCAUUCGAUCGUGUGAUAGAUUGCUUCUAAGCCGUCGGAUUGCGCAGAAGAGUCCUCUUAUAAAUCGACAAUGGAUGCUGACCGUCGGAUCUGGGUCAGGAUGAAUGUCAGCCAUUGGAUCGCAUCCAGAAUCCUUCUCUCACUGUGAGCCAUGCCUGUGGAUCACGUGAAGUUUUCUGUGGACCGCACUCUAAUUUCUGUGGAUUGAUCGAUCGGUCCACCGUGCACCGGAGGC
RNAcentral lists this long non-coding RNA (304 nucleotides) under Elaeis guineensis (African oil palm). RNAcentral's name for it is "long non-coding RNA (EGUI_LNC042294)". Lineage: Eukaryota; Viridiplantae; Streptophyta; Magnoliopsida; Arecales; Arecaceae. The record is from RNAcentral.